This 598-nucleotide unclassified non-coding RNA is filed under the name Hevea brasiliensis (rubber tree). The record is from RNAcentral. Lineage: Eukaryota; Viridiplantae; Streptophyta; Magnoliopsida; Malpighiales; Euphorbiaceae.
UGGAUGGAAGAAAGGAUUCGACUCCGAAAAGAAUGUGAGUGGAACUGGUGGCAGUUGGAAGACUGAAGGAAAUAGUUGGAAAACAUCUACAGCUACUACGGGAGGUACAUCGUCAGGGUGGGGUCAGCAGACAACUGUUAGUGAAAAGGAGGUUCAGAAUGACAAGGGAACAAGUUGGAACCAGGGAACCGGUUCAGGAAACGCGAGCACAGCUUGGACUGCAAACAAAUCCAACACCGACGAUAUGAACAAACCAAAAGAAACGAACGACGGACCGAGUGAUGCGUGGGGUAAAUCAACCAGCUCUUGGGGCAAAGGAAACAGCUCUGGUGGCCAGGGAGGCUGGUGACAGCUUUGGACGGUAAUUGUUAUUUUGCUAUGGACGGUCGAUUGGGCCAUCCAUGUAAUUAUGGUUUGUACAAAUAACAGAUGACGGACUAGCUCUUGGGGGAAGCAUGGAUUGGGACUUUAGAUGCUUAGAUGUAUCGUAAGUUAUUACUCUUGAAUUGCAGGACAUAAAACUUUUGGAAUGUUGGAUGUUUGGUACUCUUCAUUUUCAAUUUCGAAACUGAUAAUUGUCGCGGUGCUUGCUUUCGCG